UGUAUGAAUACUUUGGAGUUAGACCUCAAGUUCGGGAGGAGGUUAAUGGCAUCAAGAUUUCUCCGUUGGUUGCCCAAACAUCGUUUGUCAAUACCCUCUAGGUGUUCUUUGGAAAUUUGGUGCUUGCUGAUUGACAACUUGACUGCUAAUGAUAUGACUUUGAAUCCUUGGGUUGGAUGUGAGAAGUAUACAGAGUGUGAGUGGGCUCUAGAGCUGAAUAACCGUUAAGUAUUGUUUAAGUGUGGGCAUGGAAGGUAUUGGUAUCUUGGUAAUCACGUGUUGACUUAGGUUCAACAUGUGUAUCCUUUACAACAAUUCCAGUUCCGCCUUAUCCCCCCGUCCAGUUGGCUAACCUUUUGACUAAUGAAGAGAUUGCUCAGGCUUGUGUUGGCUUUGUGGUUUCAGGAGUAGCAGGGACUUAUUCUGAAUUUAUUCGAACUCAUUUGCAAGGUUGCCUGGCCGACAUAUCGGAGAGGAAGAGGGAGAGGAAGAAGAAGAAGAGAUUCCUUCUCCUCACCAUGUUGGUAGGUA
This is a long non-coding RNA of Quercus lobata, 531 nucleotides long. RefSeq lists it as uncharacterized. NCBI's taxonomy places the organism in Eukaryota, Viridiplantae, Streptophyta, Magnoliopsida, Fagales, Fagaceae. The record is from RefSeq and is a predicted model, not a curated record. The transcript is spliced from 3 exons.